RNAcentral lists this ribosomal RNA (253 nucleotides) under uncultured bacterium. RNAcentral describes it as "partial 16S ribosomal RNA". It matches the Rfam family "Bacterial small subunit ribosomal RNA", at positions 524 to 776 of the family's 1533-position model. The record is from RNAcentral.
UACAGAGGGGGCAAGCGUUAUUCGGAAUUAUUGGGCGUAAAGGGCGCGUAGGCGGCCAUUCAAGUGACGGGUGAAAGCCCUCGGCUUAACCGAGGAACUGCCUGUCAGACUGGAUGGCUUGAGACCGGGAGAGGUGAGUGGAAUUCCCAGUGUAGAGGUGAAAUUCGUAGAUAUUAGGAAGAACACCAGUGGCGAAGGCGGCUCACUGGCCCGGUACUGACGCUGAGGCGCGAAAGCGUGGGGAGCAAACAGG